AUGAAAAUGGCCGAGUGGUCUAAGGUGCCAGACUUAUGUUUAAUCAAUCUUCUCAACGUAUAAGGUUUCUCCUCUCCAGAUGGAGGCGUGGGUUCAAUUCCCACUUCUGACA
Molecule: non-coding RNA, 112 nt
Organism: Danio rerio (zebrafish)
Lineage: Eukaryota; Metazoa; Chordata; Actinopteri; Cypriniformes; Danionidae
Source: Rfam